GGUAGUCCACGCCGUAAACGAUGUCGACUUGGAGGUUGUUCCCUUGAGGAGUGGCUUCCGGACCUAACGCGUUAAGUCGACCGCCUGGGGAGUACGGCCGCAAGGUUAAAACUCAAAUGAAUUGACGGGGGCCCGCACAAGCGGUGGAGCAUGUGGUUUAAUUCGAUGCAACGCGAAGAACCUUACCUACUCUUGACAUCCACGGAAUUCGGCAGAGAUGCCUUAGUGCCUUCGGGAACCGUGAGACAGGUGCUGCAUGGCUGUCGUCAGCUCGUGUUGUGAAAUGUUGGGUUAAGUCCCGCAACGAGCGCAACCCUUAUCCUUUGUUGCCAGCGAUUCGGUCGGGAACUCAAAGGAGACUGCCGGUGAUAAACCGGAGGAAGGUAGGGAUGACGUCAAGUCAUCAUGGCCCUUACGAGUAGGGCUACACACGUGCUACAAUGGCGCAUACAAAGAGAAGCGACCUCGCGAGAGCAAGCGGACCUCACAAAGUGCGUCGUAGUCCGGAUCGGAGUCUGCAACUCGACUCCGUGAAGUCGGAAUCGCUAGUAAUCGUGGAUCAGAAUGCCACGGUGAAUACGUUCCCGGGCCUUGUACACACCGCCCAUCACACCAUGGGAGUGGGUUGCAAAAGAAGUAGGUAGCUUAACCUUCGGGAGGGCGCUUACCACUUUGUGAUUCAUGACUGGGGUGAAGUCGUAACAAGGUAACC
RNAcentral lists this ribosomal RNA (712 nucleotides) under uncultured bacterium. Its description in RNAcentral is "bacterial SSU rRNA". It matches the Rfam family "Bacterial small subunit ribosomal RNA", at positions 789 to 1501 of the family's 1533-position model. The record is from RNAcentral.